ACAACAGGAUGAUAGCUCUUAGGGUCAGCCUAAUAAGAAACCUCAUUAUUUCUGGUUUAGAACAUUUCAAAGCAACACCCAGGAACCUUCAGAAUGGUAAAAAAACAUUGAUGCUUAGCUAUGAGGCAUGAGGCAGGAGGAGUAAUACAAAGUGGACCUUUGCCCCAGGAUGAUGACUGAGGUAUGACUAGAAGGUUCUUCAUCCUCUCAAAGAGCAAACUUUUGUGGCAGUAACACAACCAGGCAAGAUGAGAGAAGCAGAUCAAAGAAACUAAAAACAGAGAAAGAAAUGGUGUAUCAUUUCACUGUGUACCCUGCAGGGAAAUAAAGGUUCUGCCCUACCUACCAAGAUCAUAUUGCCGUAGCAUCAAAAAGCC
This 377-nucleotide long non-coding RNA is filed under the name Homo sapiens (human). Its description in RNAcentral is "non-protein coding lnc-TRIM36-1:3". Lineage: Eukaryota; Metazoa; Chordata; Mammalia; Primates; Hominidae. The record is from RNAcentral.